GAUGAACGCUGGCGGCGUGCCUAAUACAUGCAAGUCGAGCGAACAGACGAGGAGCUUGCUCCUCUGACGUUAGCGGCGGACGGGUGAGUAACACGUGGAUAACCUACCUAUAAGACUGGGAUAAAUUCGGGAAACCGGAGCUAAUACCGGAUAAUAUAUUGAACCGCAUGGUUCAAUAGUGAAAGACGGUUUUGCUGUCACUUAUAGAUGGAUCCGCGCCGCAUUAGCUAGUUGGUAAGGUAACGGCUUACCAAGGCAACGAUGCGUAGCCGACCUGAGAGGGUGAUCGGCCACACUGGAACUGAGACACGGUCCAGACUCCUACGGGAGGCAGCAGUAGGGAAUCUUCCGCAAUGGGCGAAAGCCUGACGGAGCAACGCCGCGUAAGUGAUGAAGGUCUUCGGAUCGUAAAACUCUGUUAUUAGGGAAGAACAAAUGUGUAAGUAACUAUGCACGUCUUGACGGUACCUAAUCAGAAAGCCACGGCUAACUACGUG
This 497-nucleotide ribosomal RNA is filed under the name uncultured bacterium. RNAcentral's name for it is "partial 16S ribosomal RNA". It matches the Rfam family "Bacterial small subunit ribosomal RNA", at positions 28 to 507 of the family's 1533-position model. The record is from RNAcentral.